GUCAUAGGAGAUUUUCUUAGAUUGACAGAGGUGAUGUCUGAGACGGUCGGAGCCGACAUUCUUAGACUGUCCAACGCCAAAUUCUUAGAUUAAAAUUGUUGCAGUUAAAAAGCUCGUAGUUGAAUUUUUGCUAGAAAUAACCGGUCUGCUUUUAUUUAUAAGAGUGGUAUCUUGGUGUGUUUUUAGCAAUAAUGUCCUUUGGAAUGUUUUUUACUUUAUUGUAGAAUGCAAUUUUGAGGAUUUUUACUUUGAGAAAAUUAGAGUGUUUCAAGCAGGCUAACGUUUUGAAUACUGCAGCAUGGAAUAAUAAAAUAGGAUUUUAGUUCUACGUUAUUGGUUUUAAGAACUAAAUUAAUGAUUGAUAGGAGCAGUUGGGGGCAUUUGUAUUUAACUGUCAGAGGUGAAAUUCUUAGAAGCUGU
Molecule: ribosomal RNA, 420 nt
Filed under: Hepatozoon erhardovae
Lineage: Eukaryota; Apicomplexa; Hepatozoidae
Description: bacterial SSU rRNA
Rfam family: Eukaryotic small subunit ribosomal RNA (bases 92-420)
Source: RNAcentral